ACAGGAUUUGCUGAUGGAUUGGACGAAGCUGGUAGCUCUUGAGCUGCAGAGGCCCCAGUUCUGGCUUUGCAGCCAGCCCCCAGCGCCGCAGCAUCUGUUCACCAGGUUACUUUAGGGUUGUUGUGAAGAUUAGAGGAAUGAAUGUGGGUGAAAGCACAUCGAACAGAAAGAAGCUGGCACAAAGUAAGUGUUAGUUAUUACUGCUGCUGCGGCUCCUAUUACGGUUAUUAAUGGGAUAACGAAUGGGAAGCACCUGGAGUGGAGGAAAGACUUGAUAAAUACUAAGCAUUACCAGCUUUUAAUUUUUCUUUUCUGAGCCUAACCCACUCUUCUUGGCUCCUGGGCACUGGGGGUGGUCACCCUCAUGUCACUUUGACCACCUGAUCUGGCCCCCUUGGAGUCCUUGGCUCUGCACAGGUGGAGGCCAUGUCUUCCUUAUUGCCACAUCCCCGCCCACAGCAGGCAUUCAGACGCAUUUGGAAGCAAACAGCUCUGACAGGUGCCUCCCCAGCUUGCAGACAGUCUGUGGCUUCCCACUGCUUUCAGGAUUUCGCUCGCGCAGACCCCACCCCCGCUGCGUGGUCUGGCCACCUCGUCUCCCACCUCCUCGGCCUCAGGCACCAUCUUCUGCCACCAAGCCAGGCUUCUCCCCUCCCAAGCCGAGCCGCCAGUUCCCUCCUGCCCCUAGGCCUCUGCCUGUGCCCCGCUCAUCUUGGAGUGCUCUUCUCUGGCUGGCACACUCCUCCUCCUCCGCCAAGACCCAGCCUUACAAAGCUCCCUCCGACCCCAAGCAAGAAUUAGAGUCAGCUGGGGGCCUGGGAAGCGGGCGGCCUUAUCCUCCUCCUCCCCACCACCACCACUGUGCCCAGCACUUGGGACAGGGACUUGCUGGUCACUCCCUCCAAAGAAGCUGGUGCCUGGACCCUGAGCCUGUUCUCUGGAGACUCAAACUACUCGCCUUCUGUGGAUCCUGGAAGACCCAUUCCACACCUCCUCGAAGGAAAGUCUUCCCUGGCUGUUUCUCCAGCUGCCGUGCUCCCACCUCCCUUGGUUCAUAUCUCCACCACUGUGUCUCCCCUUGCCUUGUAAUAAUUGGGCUGCUGGUACUCUCUCCCCCUAGGUCUUGGCUCAGAAUUGGGCCUUCUAUCUCUUGCCCUCUCCAGGAACAGAAACUGCUCUGCCUGAAUAGAUGAAUAAACAAAUGAGUAAAUUGGAAUGGGUUUAAAUGUUGCCUCCUCCAAGAAGUCCUCCCUGACCAUUCUAGCUCUAUUUAUAAUCAUUGCAUGUGUUUAUUGUCUGUCUCACCCACAAGACUAUCAGCUCUUCAAAGGCAAGGACCUUCUUGUUUUGUUUACCAUGGCCUUCCUGGC
Molecule: long non-coding RNA, 1370 nt
Filed under: Equus caballus (horse)
Lineage: Eukaryota; Metazoa; Chordata; Mammalia; Perissodactyla; Equidae
Description: lncRNA (ENSECAG00000059732.1)
Source: RNAcentral